This 450-nucleotide ribosomal RNA is filed under the name uncultured bacterium. Its description in RNAcentral is "partial 16S ribosomal RNA". It matches the Rfam family "Bacterial small subunit ribosomal RNA", at positions 338 to 795 of the family's 1533-position model. The record is from RNAcentral.
CCUACGGGAGGCUGCAGUCGGGAAUUUUGGGCAAUGGGGGCAACCCUGACCCAGCAACGCCGCGUGAGCGAUGAAGGCCUUCGGGUCGUAAAGCUCUGUCGGGAGGGAAGAAGGCUCUCGGGGUGAAUAAUCCCGGGGGAUUGACGGUACCUCCAAAGGAAGCGCCGGCUAACUCCGUGCCAGCAGCCGCGGUAAUACGGAGGGCGCACGCGUUGUUCGGAAUCACUGGGCGUAAAGCGCGUGUAGGCGGGAAAGCCCGGGGCCUAACCCCGGAACUGCACGCGAAACUGCCUCGCUGGAGUCGCGGAGAGGGUGGUGGAAUUCCCGGUGUAGUGGUGAAAGACGUAGAGAUCGGGAGGAACACCAGCGGCGAAGGCGGCCACCUGGACGAUGACUGACGCUGAGACGCGAAAGCGUGGGGAGCAAACAGGAUUAGAUACCCUAGUAGUC